UGGGGUGUAGCUCAGUGGCACAGCACCUGCCUAGCAUGCAUGAGGCCCUGGGUUCAAUCCCCAGCACCACAU
This is a transfer RNA of Cavia porcellus (domestic guinea pig), 72 nucleotides long. It matches the Rfam family "tRNA". From Rfam's summary of the family: Transfer RNA (tRNA) molecules are approximately 80 nucleotides in length. Their secondary structure includes four short double-helical elements and three loops (D, anti-codon, and T loops). Lineage: Eukaryota; Metazoa; Chordata; Mammalia; Rodentia; Caviidae. The record is from Rfam.